This 497-nucleotide ribosomal RNA is filed under the name uncultured bacterium. RNAcentral describes it as "partial 16S ribosomal RNA". It matches the Rfam family "Bacterial small subunit ribosomal RNA", at positions 28 to 507 of the family's 1533-position model. The record is from RNAcentral.
GAUGAACGCUGGCGGCGUGCCUAAUACAUGCAAGUCGAGCGAACGGACGAGAAGCUUGUUUCUCUGAUGUUAGCGGCGGACGGGUGAGUAACACGUGGAUAAUCUACCUAUAAGACUGGGAUAACUUUGGGAAACCGUAGCUAAUACCGGAUAAUAUUUUGAACCGCAUGGUUCAAAAGUGAAAGACGGUCUUGCUGUCACUUAUAGAUGGAUCCGCGCUGCAUUAGCUAGUUGGUAAGGUAACGGCUUACCAAAGCAACGAUGCAUAGCCGACCUGAGAGGGUGGUCGGCCACACGGGAACUGAGACACGGUCUGGACUCCUGCGGGAGGCAACAGUAGGGAAUCAUCCGCAAUGGGCGAGAGGCUGACGGAGCAACGCCGCGUGAGUGAUGAAGGACUUCGGAUCGUAAGACUCUGUUAUUAGGGAAAAACAUAUGUGUAAGUAACUGUGCACAUCUUGACGGUACCUAAUCAGAAAGCCACGGCUAACUACGUG